UACGUAGGUGGCAAGCGUUGUCCGGAUUUAUUGGGCGUAAAGCGAGCGCAGGCGGUCUUUUAAGUCUGAUGUGAAAGCCCCCGGCUUAACCGGGGAGGGGCAUUGGAAACUGGGAGACUUGAGUGCAGAAGAGGAAAGCGGAAUUCCAUGUGUAGCGGUGAAAUGCGUAGAUAUAUGGAGGAACACCAGUGGCGAAGGCGGCUUACUGGUCUGUAACUGACGCUGAGGCACGAAAGCGUGGGGAGCAAACAGGAUUAGAUACCCUGGUAGUCCACGCCGUAAACGAUGAGUGCUUAGUGUUGGAGGGUUUCCGCCCUUCAGUGCUGCAGCGAACGCAUUAAGCACUCCGCCUGGGGAGUACGACCGCAAGGUUGAA
Molecule: ribosomal RNA, 376 nt
Filed under: uncultured bacterium
Lineage: Bacteria
Description: bacterial SSU rRNA
Rfam family: Bacterial small subunit ribosomal RNA
Source: RNAcentral